This is a long non-coding RNA of Notolabrus celidotus (New Zealand spotty), 636 nucleotides long. RefSeq lists it as uncharacterized. The record is from RefSeq and is a predicted model, not a curated record. NCBI's taxonomy places the organism in Eukaryota, Metazoa, Chordata, Actinopteri, Labriformes, Labridae. The transcript is spliced from 3 exons.
GGUUAAAUUUAAAGAUAGAGGUACUUACGAACACUCCAGUGAGCUUGUCAAGCAUCCAGUGCUUUGGCGCUGCGACGCGCUUCAGGUGCUUCUUCGGUCCUCUUGCCUGAAAUCAUGUCAGACACACCGUUACUUAUUUAUUGAAAACGACUAAUCACACAUUGAAUAAGGACAACAAAAUUGCAAGUGUGUGAAACCAUCAUGGUCAGGAAAUACCAGUGAAGCAGACAGACCUCAGCCCUCUUCGCCCUGAUAGAGAUCAAACUCUCCUGGGUCUGAGUCUUCCUCUGCCAAAUGAUGCCACUGAUGCUCACAUAAUGCCGUCUCUUCCUCUCUCUGCAGGAAACAAUCCCAAAGCCCUGGAACGUUAAGCUCCCAAAACAAAAUCUCCCAUGUGUUCAUUCAGAAAUGCUCAAAAUUCAGAGCUCAUACUCAGGGUGGAAGAUGUGAGAUGGGUUGCACAUGUCUGCAUGUUUCUCUCUUUUUGUUUUUUAAUUUAAUAAAAUAUGAAGCUUUUUAUGGCCAAAACUGGGACCUCUCUGAAAUGUCUCCGCUUCAGGUAACGUUUUUCUGUAGAAGCUUCUGAAAAACAUGUUAAAUAUGUAAAAAAUAAAACCAAUACACCUCAAAAACUGA